AUUGAACGCUGGCGGAAUGCUUUACACAUGCAAGUCGAACGGCAGCACGGGGCAACCUGGUGGCGAGUGGCGAACGGGUGAGUAAUACAUCGGAACGUGCCCAAUCGUGGGGGAUAACGUAGCGAAAGUUACGCUAAUACCGCAUACGAUCUACGGAUGAAAGCGGGGGAUCGCAAGACCUCGCGCGAAUGGAGCGGCCGAUGUCAGAUUAGGUAGUUGGUGGGGUAAAGGCUCACCAAGCCAACGAUCUGUAGCUGGUCUGAGAGGACGACCAGCCACACUGGAACUGAGACACGGUCCAGACUCCUACGGGAGGCAGCAGUGGGGAAUUUUGGACAAUGGGCGCAAGCCUGAUCCAGCCAUUCCGCGUGCAGGAUGAAGGCCUC
RNAcentral lists this ribosomal RNA (386 nucleotides) under uncultured bacterium. RNAcentral's name for it is "bacterial SSU rRNA". It matches the Rfam family "Bacterial small subunit ribosomal RNA", at positions 30 to 418 of the family's 1533-position model. The record is from RNAcentral.